CUUGUUGUGAAUUGGGUUCAUUUGAAGAAGUAAAGGACUCUUAUUUCUGAGAUCUUCUUCUUUGUACUCAUAUUUAACACUCUUUUCAGCUAAUGCAAUUCUUGCUCUCAUACCAAACAUGCUAGCCCAUGUAUCUAACAGAAUUACCUCGUUUGCCAUGAUUGUAAAAAAUCCUAAGUUGCCGAGUGAGAACUGGCUAGUGCUAGUUAUUUAUGAAGUGGGUCGUUUUCAUAUUUUUUGACAAAAUGUGUGACCAUUUUUUGGAUAAGAUUUGUAUGAUAUAGAAAAUUCUGAAAUGUACUUUUGUUGGAAACAUUUUCUUACAAUUUCAUAGAAGAUGAUAUUUCUCAUCAUCUUAGCAUUUUCUUUUAUA
This 373-nucleotide long non-coding RNA is filed under the name Medicago truncatula (barrel medic). RNAcentral's name for it is "lncRNA gene10756". Lineage: Eukaryota; Viridiplantae; Streptophyta; Magnoliopsida; Fabales; Fabaceae. The record is from RNAcentral.